GAUGAACGCUGGCGGCGUGCCUAAUACAUGCAAGUCGAGCGAACAGACGAGGAGCUUGCUCCUCUGACGUUAGCGGCGGACGGGUGAGUAACACGUGGAUAACCUACCUAUAAGACUGGGAUAACUUCGGGAAACCGGAGCUAAUACCGGAUAAUAUAUUGAACCGCAUGGUUCAAUAGUGAAAGACGGUUUUGCUGUCACUUAUAGAUGGAUCCGCGCCGCAUUAGCUAGUUGGUAAGGUAACGGCUUACCAAGGCAACGAUGCGUAGCCGACCUGAGAGGGUGAUCGGCCACACUGGAACUGAGACACGGCCCAGACUCCUACGGGAGGCAGCAGUAGGGAAUCUUCCGCAAUGGGCGAAAGCCUGACGGAGCAACGCCGCGUGAAUGAUGAAGGUCUUCGGAUCGUAAAACUCUGUUAUUAGGGAAGAACAAAUGUGUAAGUAACUAUGCACGUCUUGACGGUACCUAAUCAGAAAGCCACGGCUAACUACGUG
Molecule: ribosomal RNA, 497 nt
Filed under: uncultured bacterium
Lineage: Bacteria
Description: partial 16S ribosomal RNA
Rfam family: Bacterial small subunit ribosomal RNA
Source: RNAcentral